Molecule: ribosomal RNA, 254 nt
Filed under: uncultured prokaryote
Description: partial 16S ribosomal RNA
Rfam family: Bacterial small subunit ribosomal RNA
Source: RNAcentral
UACGGAGGAUCCAAGCGUUAUCCGGAAUUACUGGGCGUAAAGAGUUGCGUAGGUGGUUUGUUAAGCGAAUAGUGAAAUGAUACGGCUCAACCGUAUGUCCAUUAUUUGAACUGGCAGACUAGAGGAUGAGAGAGGUCGCUGGAAUUCCUAGUGUAGGAGUGAAAUCCGUAGAUAUUAGGAGGAACACCGAUGGCGUAGGCAGGCGACUGGCUCAUUCCUGACACUAAGGCACGAAAGCGUGGGGAGCAAACGGG